Molecule: ribosomal RNA, 250 nt
Filed under: uncultured archaeon
Lineage: Archaea
Description: partial 16S ribosomal RNA
Rfam family: Archaeal small subunit ribosomal RNA
Source: RNAcentral
UAUUUCUGGGGUAGGGGUGAAAUCCUAUAAUCCCAGGAGGACCACCAGUGGCGAAGGCUGUCUGCUAGAACGCGCCCGACGGUGAGGGAUGAAAGCUGGGGGAGCGAACCGGAUUAGAUACCCGGGUAGUCCCAGCUGUAAACGAUGCAGACUAGGUGUUUGGACGGCCACGUGCCGUUCUAGUGCCGCAGGGAAGCUGUUAAGUCUGCCGCCUGGGGAGUACGAUCGCAAGAUUGAAACUUAAAGGAAU